GAUGAAGAACGUAGCGAAAUGCGAUAAGUAGUGUGAAUUGCAGAAUUCAGUGAAUCAUCGAAUCUUUGAACGCACAUUGCGCCCCUUGGUAUUCCAUGGGGCAUGCCUGUUCGAGCGUCAUUUGUACCUUCAAGCUCUGCUUGGUGUUGGGUGUUUGUCUCGCCUCUGCGCGCAGACUCGCCUCAAAACGAUUGGCAGCCGGCGUAUUGAUUUCGGAGCGCAGUAAAUCUCGCGCUUUGACAACAAAACGACGACGUCCAAAAAGUACAUUUUUUACACUCUUGACCUCGGAUCAGGUAGGGAUACCCGCUGAACUUAAGCAUAUCAAUAAGCGGAGGA
This 339-nucleotide unclassified non-coding RNA is filed under the name soil metagenome. RNAcentral describes it as "partial contains 5.8S ribosomal RNA, internal transcribed spacer 2, and large subunit ribosomal RNA". The stretch from base 1 to 120 matches the Rfam family "5.8S ribosomal RNA", at positions 35 to 154 of the family's 154-position model. The record is from RNAcentral.